UUUAAGGGGUGCCCGAAAGCGGGCUGAGAUUAGACCCUCCGACCUGAUCCAGGUAAUGCUGGCGUAGGGAUGAAGA
RNAcentral lists this non-coding RNA (76 nucleotides) under bovine gut metagenome. RNAcentral describes it as "TPP riboswitch (THI element)". It matches the Rfam family "TPP riboswitch aptamer (THI element)", at positions 7 to 92 of the family's 105-position model. Rfam says of the family: Vitamin B(1) in its active form thiamin pyrophosphate (TPP) is an essential coenzyme that is synthesised by coupling of pyrimidine and thiazole moieties in bacteria. The previously detected thiamin-regulatory element, thi box was extended, resulting in a new, highly conserved RNA secondary structure, the THI element, which is widely distributed in eubacteria and also occurs in some archaea. Analysis of operon structures identified a large number of new candidate thiamin-regulated genes, mostly transporters, in various prokaryotic organisms. The record is from RNAcentral.